This 395-nucleotide long non-coding RNA is filed under the name Olea europaea (common olive). Its description in RNAcentral is "long non-coding RNA (OEUR_LNC006192)". Lineage: Eukaryota; Viridiplantae; Streptophyta; Magnoliopsida; Lamiales; Oleaceae. The record is from RNAcentral.
UUCACUCAAAGUAAGACCGUACGCUCAAAAUCAUAGUGGCAAUAUUUUGACCGUCCCACUCCAUUUCUCUUUUAUUUACUUAGUGUUUGACUUGUUGGGAGGUUUAGAGUCUAAUGGAUGUGAUUUGAGUGAACAAUCAUACCAAGUGUGCUUAUAAGACCGUUCCACUAAAAUUUUUCUCGUGUGUUCAUGUAUCCCUAAGGUGGAAGUUAUUUCAAGUUAGUUUCAAUGGACAGACAUGACUGAUUCAUUCUAAUCAAUUGUCGAUCUUCUAUCUGGACCGAUCAAUAUUUCCUCCCUCAGUCCAUUCAAAUGGAUAAUCAAACUAUUGUAUACAUUUUUUCAGAGCAGGACCUCGAACAUACAAAAAUUUCAAUUAUUCGAAUUGACUCAAC